CUACGGGGGGCUGCAGUGGGGAAUAUUGCACAAUGGGCGCAAGCCUGAUGCAGCCAUGCCGCGUGUAUGAAGAAGGCCUUCGGGUUGUAAAGUACUUUCAGCGGGGAGGAAGGGGGUAAAGUUAAUACCUUUGCUCAUUGACGUUACCCGCAGAAGAAGCACCGGCUAACUCCGUGCCAGCAGCCGCGGUAAUACGGAGGGUGCAAGCGUUAAUCGGAAUUACUGGGCGUAAAGCGCACGCAGGCGGUUUGUUAAGUCAGAUGGGAAAUCCCCGGGCUCAACCUGGGAACUGCAUCUGAUACUGGCAAGCUUGAGUCUCGUAGAGGGGGGUAGAAUUCCAGGUGUAGCGAUGAAAUGCGUAGAGAUCUGGAGGAAUACCGGUGGCGAAGGCGGCCCCCUGGACGAAGACUGACGCUCAGGUGCGAAAGCGUGGGGAGCAAACAGGAUUAGAUACCCUCGUAGUC
RNAcentral lists this ribosomal RNA (464 nucleotides) under uncultured bacterium. Its description in RNAcentral is "partial 16S ribosomal RNA". It matches the Rfam family "Bacterial small subunit ribosomal RNA", at positions 339 to 795 of the family's 1533-position model. The record is from RNAcentral.